AUUGAACGCUGGCGGCAUGCCUUACACAUGCAAGUCGAACGGCAGCACGGGUGCUUGCACCUGGUGGCGAGUGGCGAACGGGUGAGUAAUACAUCGGAACAUGUCCUGUAGUGGGGGAUAGCCCGGCGAAAGCCGGAUUAAUACCGCAUACGAUCUACGGAUGAAAGCGGGGGACCUUCGGGCCUCGCGCUAUAGGGUUGGCCGAUGGCUGAUUAGCUAGUUGGUGGGGUAAAGGCCUACCAAGGCGACGAUCAGUAGCUGGUCUGAGAGGACGACCAGCCACACUGGAACUGAGACACGGCCCAGACUCCUACGGGAGGCAGCAGUGGGGAAUUUUGGACAAUGGGCGAAAGCCUGAUCCAGCAAUGCCGCGUGUGUGAAGAAGGCCUUCGGGUUGUAAAGCACUUUUGUCCGGAAAGAAAUCCUUGGCUCUAAUACAGUCGGGGGAUGACGGUACCGGAAGAAUAAGCACCGGCUAACUACGUG
RNAcentral lists this ribosomal RNA (486 nucleotides) under uncultured bacterium. RNAcentral describes it as "partial 16S ribosomal RNA". It matches the Rfam family "Bacterial small subunit ribosomal RNA", at positions 30 to 507 of the family's 1533-position model. The record is from RNAcentral.